CAUAGGUUAAUGAGGCGAACCGGGGGAACUGAAACAUCUAAGUACCCCGAGGAAAAGAAAUCAACCGAGAUUCCCCCAGUAGCGGCGAGCGAACGGGGAGCAGCCCAGAGCCUGAAUCAGUAUGUGUGUUAGUGGAAGCGUCUGGAAAGGCGCGCGAUACAGGGUGACAGCCCCGUACACAAAAAUGCACAUGCUGUGAGCUCGAUGAGUAGGGCGGGACACGUGGUAUCCUGUCUGAAUAUGGGGGGACCAUCCUCCAAGGCUAAAUACUCCUGACUGACCGAUAGUGAACCAGUACCGUGAGGGAAAGGCGAAAAGAACCCCGGCGAGGGGAGUGAAAAAGAACCUGAAACCGUGUACGUACAAGCAGUGGGAGCACGCUUAGGCGUGUGACUGCGUACCUUUUGUAUAAUGGGUCAGCGACUUAUAUUCUGUAGCAAGGUUAACCGAAUAGGGGAGCCGAAGGGAAACCGAGUCUUAACUGGGCGUUAAGUUGCAGGGUAUAGACCCGAAACCCGGUGAUCUAGCCAUGGGCAGGUUGAAGGUUGGGUAACACUAACUGGAGGACCGAACCGACUAAUGUUGAAAAAUUAGCGGAUGACUUGUGGCUGGGGGUGAAAGGCCAAUCAAACCGGGAGAUAGCUGGUUCUCCCCGAAAGCUAUUUAGGUAGCGCCUCGUGAAUUCAUCUCCGGGGGUAGAGCACUGUUUCGGCAAGGGGGUCAUCCCGACUUACCAACCCGAUGCAAACUGCGAAUACCGGAGAAUGUUAUCACGGGAGACACACGGCGGGUGCUAACGUCCGUCGUGAAGAGGGAAACAACCCAGACCGCCAGCUAAGGUCCCAAAGUCAUGGUUAAGUGGGAAACGAUGUGGGAAGGCCCAGACAGCCAGGAUGUUGGCUUAGAAGCAGCCAUCAUUUAAAGAAAGCGUAAUAGCUCACUGGUCGAGUCGGCCUGCGCGGAAGAUGUAACGGGGCUAAACCAUGCACCGAAGCUGCGGCAGCGACGCUGAUGCGUUGUUGGGUAGGGGAGCGUUCUGUAAGCCUGCGAAGGUGUGCUGUGAGGCAUGCUGGAGGUAUCAGAAGUGCGAAUGCUGACAUAAGUAACGAUAAAGCGGGUGAAAAGCCCGCUCGCCGGAAGACCAAGGGUUCCUGUCCAACGUUAAUCGGGGCAGGGUGAGUCGACCCCUAAGGCGAGGCCGAAAGGCGUAGUCGAUGGGAAACAGGUUAAUAUUCCUGUACUUGGUGUUACUGCGAAG
This 1258-nucleotide ribosomal RNA is filed under the name Escherichia coli. Its description in RNAcentral is "partial 23S ribosomal RNA". It matches the Rfam family "Bacterial large subunit ribosomal RNA", at positions 165 to 1461 of the family's 2925-position model. The record is from RNAcentral. Lineage: Bacteria; Pseudomonadati; Pseudomonadota; Gammaproteobacteria; Enterobacterales; Enterobacteriaceae.